UACGUAGGGGGCGAGCGUUGUCCGGAAUCAUUGGGCGUAAAGCGCGUGUAGGCGGCUCGGUAAGUCCGGUGUGAAACCUUGGGGCUCAACCCCAAGCCUGCACUGGAUACUGUCGAGCUCGAGUCCGGGAGGGGAGAGCGGAAUUCCUAGUGUAGCGGUGAAAUGCGCAGAUAUUAGGAAGAACACCGGUGGCGAAGGCGGAUCUCUGGGCCUUGCCUGACGCUGAGGCGCGAAAGCUAGGGGAGCGAACAGG
RNAcentral lists this ribosomal RNA (253 nucleotides) under uncultured bacterium. RNAcentral's name for it is "partial 16S ribosomal RNA". It matches the Rfam family "Bacterial small subunit ribosomal RNA", at positions 524 to 776 of the family's 1533-position model. The record is from RNAcentral.